GCGGCGGCCUAAGCAUGGCCAGUCGUAGCCGGUAACCAGAGUAAUACUGGUGGCGACCGGCAAACGGGUGCGGAACACGUACACAAUCUACCUUUGUCUGGGGCAUAGCCCGGAGAAAUCCGGAUUAACUCCCCAUAAUAUACAUAAAAGGCAUCUUUUGAGUAUUAAAAAUUUAUUGGACAGAGAUGAGUGUGCGUCCCAUUAGCUAGUUGGUAGGGUAACGGCCUACCAAGGCGACGAUGGGUAGCUGGUGUGAGAGCACGACCAGCCACACGGGCACUGAGACACGGGCCCGACUCCUACGGGAGGCAGCAGUGAGGAAUAUUGGUCAAUGGACGCAAGUCUGAACCAGCCAUGCCGCGUGAAGGAUGAAGGCCUUCUGGGUUGUAAACUUCUUUUACCUGGGAAGAAACCUCUUUUUUCUAAGAGAGUUGACGGUACCAGAGGAAUAAGCACCGGCUAACUCCGUGCCAGCAGCCGCGGUAAUACGGAGGGUGCAAGCGUUAUCCGGAUUUACUGGGUUUAAAGGGUGUGUAGGCGGGCAUUUAAGUCAGCCGGUGAUAUCUCCAGGCUUCACCCUGGAUACUGCCAUUUGAUACUAUUUGUCUUGAAUUUUGUUGAAGUAGGCGGAAUCCGUCAUGUUUCGGUGAAUUGCAUA
RNAcentral lists this ribosomal RNA (658 nucleotides) under uncultured bacterium. Its description in RNAcentral is "bacterial SSU rRNA". It matches the Rfam family "Bacterial small subunit ribosomal RNA", at positions 39 to 692 of the family's 1533-position model. The record is from RNAcentral.